Molecule: ribosomal RNA, 300 nt
Filed under: Triticum aestivum (bread wheat)
Lineage: Eukaryota; Viridiplantae; Streptophyta; Magnoliopsida; Poales; Poaceae
Description: partial small subunit ribosomal RNA
Source: RNAcentral
AUGCUCUGGAGGUGGACGGCCAGCGGCACUUACACGGCGCAGUCCUGCUACGCUGCGACCUUUCAUGGAUCCACAAGAUGCCCCUCAUGGAAGCUGACAUGGAAGAGCUGGGCACCACCCAGAGUCAGAUUCUUCCAUUGGCUAGCCAGCCAGGACCGGUGCUGGACAGCAGAGCGGCUGGCCCGUCGCGGCCUGCAACACCACCCCAGAUGCCUCCUCUGCGAUCAAGAGCCGGAGACCAUCCAGCACCUGCUCCUGACCUGCCCUUUCGCGCAGCAAGCCUGGCACGCCACCCUGGAC